Molecule: RNA transcript, 4344 nt
Organism: Chiloscyllium plagiosum (whitespotted bambooshark)
Lineage: Eukaryota; Metazoa; Chordata; Chondrichthyes; Orectolobiformes; Hemiscylliidae
Gene: lrrc28
Gene name: leucine rich repeat containing 28
Source: RefSeq, a predicted model, not a curated record
AAUGAGGAGCGGGAUUGUUGUGGCCUAGCGAUGGCGGCGGCUGUCUGCCCGAUCCGAGAGGAGCCCAGCCGCAGAGCCCAGGCCCCGGCGGGUUUGUGGUGUCCCUCCUGCUGAGGCCGCCGAGUCCCCUGUCAUCAUUGCGCUUCCCCCGAGCUCCAUGAGGAAACCGUGGAUAUUUGACAUUAUCCCAGUUGUGUAAGGUGCUUUGAUCAUGAACAUCGAUCUCUGGAAAAUUAUUUUGGUGGCUAAGCAGGAGAAGCACAAAAAACUAUUUCUCAAUUAUAAGAACUUGUGCAGAUUUCCUCAUGAAUUACUGAAAGGUGGUGGCUCAGAAUACUUGGAACACCUUUACAUGAAGAUGAAUUUAUUAACAACUUUGCCAGACAACCUUGGGGAGAAACUUCCAAAUCUCACUGAAUUAUACUUACAUUCAAAUAACAUUGCAGUCAUUCCUGAAGCAAUUGGCACUUUGGUUAAACUUCAGUCAUUGGAUCUUAGUAAUAAUGUGUUGGCAAUUCUCUGCCCUGAGAUUGGACAGUUGAAAUCCUUACGACACCUGCGAUUGGCCAACAACCAGCUGAAAUUCCUUCCAUCAGAAAUUGGAGAUCUAAGAGAGCUGCAAACUCUCGACAUCUCAACCAAUUGCUUGACGGCGUUGCCAGAGAGUCUUCAUUUAUGCUUCGCCCUGCAAUAUUUGGCAGCUGACCGAAACCACCUUACGAAUCUGCCAAGACAGCUUUGUAUGCUUCCAAACUUGAAUGAACUCUCUGUGACGAGCAAUAGUUUAAAAUGUUUACCACAAGACCUAGGGCGAUAUCCAGAACUACAAUACGUGUAUGUAGAUAACAACUUUCAGCUAUAUGGACUACCAUCGUACCUAUACAACAAAGUUAUUGGUCACAGUGGUUGUGGUUCCUCUUUGAAAAAUGAAGAAGUGAAACUUUCAUUCACCCACAGACAGCUGACCAUUACUGUACCUGAUGAAAUCCAGACAAUAGGAACAGAAAAUGAUACUGUCGCACCACUUCAAGAAAUGGUUAUGAGGACCAUCUACAAAUUUUACCACACGUCUAAGAAAGGUCUGGAUCUCCUAUCCCCAAACUCAUUACCUAGGAAUCUGUGCAAGUUACUAUUCUACCCUCUGGGACAUUGUCAUCACUGCAGCCAGCCAAUGUUUACUAUCGUCUAUCCUAAGUGUUUCCCUUUGACAGAGACCCCAAUGGCUGCCUUGUAUAAUGGGAGGACGAAAAUGAGCUUUGUAGCAUACUGCUGCUCCAUCAAAUGUCUGCAGGUUUUUGACUUGCUUAGCUGAUAGAUCUCAUGACAAGGAAUAACUUGGUGGACACGUUGGGAAGUGGGAAGGCUGCGUUGAAUGGCAAGGUUCUGAAAGAGAUUCUGUUGGUUAACUUUCAUCCCACCUCGGAAUAUAGUUGCAAGCUUACAACAAACUGAGGUGAUAAAUGAGUCCAAGUCAAUGUGUUUGUUGAUGGAGUUCCGGUUGGUGUGGUGUGCUAUGGUGAGGAAAUGUCUGAAAAAGAACCUUCCAGCACAGCGAGCAAACCUACACCCAGAACCUCAACCUGAGCUACAAAUCUUCUCAAAACUCACUAAAGUUAGUAACUGUAUAACUACUUGUUUCUUCAUUGUGAUGCAGGAUUUUUCAAUAAAUUGUUGUAAUGUUGCGGUUUUCACACUGUGCAUUCUGUUUGCAGCUUUUUGUAUUAUCAGUUAACAAUGUGUUAAUAUUCUUUAAAUUAUAAGAUAUUACUGUGAUAUUUCUCAUCAAGCUUUUUAAAAUUGAAGUUGUGUUCACCAUGUACAGAAGUACAGGGCAAAUGGUAUUAGGCUUCACAGCCAACUCAGACGUGACUGUGCUUUCAGUGGUAUUUUGUUUUCAAAAUCUCACUGAUAUCAUUGACAUUUAUCUCUGCCUGACAUUUUAAUAGAUUUUAGAUGUUAAAAUAUCUAUAUAUAAUUUUGUGGCAAGAAGAAUCUUAACUCUGAUACCUGCCUUGCCCUGUCAUUAACUUAAAACUCAUUGUUUUGCUGCCCUGCCCAUGAUACACAUUGGACUAAUCAUCAGGCAUAGGAACAACCCUCGUCAUGAUCCAUGCUCAUUAUAAACCGAAACAAAUUGUAUAUUUUGCAUUUUAAUAUUAACAAUAACUGUAUUGAAAUGUUGAUCAGUAGUUGAAGAGUCUGCCCUGUUAAAAUAUAAAUUUUAUCUUUUUUUGUGUCGAUGCACAAAGCCGGCUGCCUAGGCAAUUGUCAUAACGUUCUUGUGAUUAAUCUUUUCUGCUGUUUUACUUUAUUGAUCCAGAGGUUAAUCUGUUGUACAAUAACAGCUUAAUUGAUAGUCAUUAUAUGAUAUGUAUCUGUACAUACUGAAAUGUCAUAUAAGCUCAGAAGAUGUAAAGGUCUUUACUUGUCUGCAUUAGGCCUCCAUUAUUUCUUCGUUUUUAUAUUCUUUAAAGCUGUGAGGAGACAUUUUGUUUGGGGUCCUCUGAUCAAUGAUCUUGAAUAGUCUAUGGUGUUAUACUCCUGAUGUCUGGUUGAUAAAGGAAGUUUCGAGCCAGUCUUUACUUGGGAUAGAUUUAUUCAGAGUGCAGUAUUGAAACUGUGUCUCCUGACUCCACUCAACACUUGUCAGUAUGUUUCUCUUUGGAAGUAUUUUUAAACAGCCUUUUCUGGCUUGUUAUGACACACCUCCCAAAUGGAUAGGGCUUGGUCAUGGGCCCUCUGGCUCAGGUGUAGGGGCAGUAACCACUACCACUACAAGAACGCCUCAGUGGUUUUAACAUUGUCAAGUAACUGUUCAAUUCAUUCCCUCCACCCUCUAGCAAUUACACUGAUAGGACUAGCAAGGAGGUUCUACUAAAAAAGCACAGGAACUAAGUUAAAAAGCACAACCUGCAAGGUAAUGAUCUCAGGAUUACUGCCUAGGCCCUGGGCAAUGUAGCAUAAGGUAGAUAAAGUCAAGGGGUGAAACUUGCAGCUCAAAGAUUAGUGUGGGAGGAAUGGGUCCUGGAAUCAGUACUGGGGUUGAAGAGGUUUCAGUGGGAUUGACUUCUCUUGAACUGUUCUGGGACCAGUGUCCUGAUGAUUGGAUUAACUAGGACUGCAGAGAAAGCAAAAGUAAUUUUUUUUGCAGUGGAACGUGUCUGUGUUCUGGAGUGGUGGUACGUAGGCUUACAAAACAAAAAGAAAUGGCAGCAUUACAGCGCAGCUAUUUAGGUAUUGACACACAAGCUAACAAGGGCAUGAUGUAUAAAGAUUAAGAAAAGAAAAUAAGGUCAAAAACAGUGGAAAAAAAUUAAGACAAAAUUAAUUAUCCUGUAUGUAAAUGCACAUUGGUCAGAACAAAACAAAUGAAUUAUUGGGUGCAAGUCCAGUGUAGCACGUGUGAUCAUAUUGCCAUUAUGGAGACACUGUUAAUGAAAUAUUCAGGGUUAUGUGACUUUUUGAAAGGACAUGGUGGUGGGGCAAUCCAAGUGGAAUGAUGGUGUACAAGGUGGAAGUAGUAUGAAUGCAAGAAAUAAUAUUGGACCAGAUGUAUAGCGUCCAUGUGGACAGAGUAAGGAAACUAAGACGACGACACUUAGUAAUGGUCUAACAGCAGCUUUACAGUUAAAAAUCAGCAGAUAAGAAAGGCAUUUUAAAAGGAUAUUGUAUUAAUUAUGGGUGAGUUUAAAUUUCAUAUGGAUUUAGAAAAGGUAAAAUAGCAAAUAUAGAAAUGAGUUAGUAUUAAUAGUUUAGUAGGGCAGUUCCUCAGAACAUGGUGAUGUGGAUCCAAGCAGGGAUCAGGCUGUUAUGGUUAUGUUAAUGUCUAAUGCAGCAGGUUUAAUAAAUGAUCUCAAAGUAAAAUAUCUCUUAGGAAACAGUGACCAUUGCAUGGCAGAAUUCAGCAUCAGUUUGAGAGCAAGAAACAUGGGUUGGAAAUAACUGUGCUUAAAUAAGAAUUAUUACAAACAGUUGAGGCAGAGCUGACUGGUGUUGGCUGGAAAGGAGGUGGUUGCUGAACAGUCGCAGAUGUUUAAGCCAAUAGAUCAUGACUCACAACAAAGACAUAUUCCAGUGCUUAAGAAUAAUUCUAGGAAAGGAUAAGCCAAACAUGGUUGACCAGGGAAUUAUGCAUAGCAUCAAAUUGGGAAACAAAAUGUCAAAGAUAAAAACAUCUAAUAGAAAAAACUUUGAAGGAAAGCUAGCAAGUAAUAUUUUUUUUCAGACUAGGAUGAAUGUAAGCCCUCAAAAAUUGAGAGAGGUGCUGGCGAAAUAAUAAUUGGUAAUGAGGCAAAGUUAAAAAUCUCACAACACCAGGUUAUAGUCCAACAGGUUUAUUUGGAA